RNAcentral lists this unclassified non-coding RNA (345 nucleotides) under soil metagenome. RNAcentral's name for it is "partial contains 5.8S ribosomal RNA, internal transcribed spacer 2, and large subunit ribosomal RNA". The stretch from base 1 to 120 matches the Rfam family "5.8S ribosomal RNA", at positions 35 to 154 of the family's 154-position model. The record is from RNAcentral.
GAUGAAGAACGUAGCGAAAUGCGAUACGUAAUGUGAAUUGCAGAAUUCAGUGAAUCAUCGAGUCUUUGAACGCACAUUGCGCCCCCUGGUAUUCCGGGGGGCAUGCCUGUCCGAGCGUCAUUGCUGCCCUCAAGCACGGCUUGUGUGUUGGGCCUCCGUCCUCCUCCCGGGGGACGGGCCCGAAAGGCAGCGGCGGCACCGCGUCCGGUCCUCGAGCGUAUGGGGCUUCGUCACCCGAUCUUGUAGGCCCGGCCGGCGCUUGCCGACACAUCAAUCUUUUUUCCAGGUUGACCUCGGAUCAGGUAGGGAUACCCGCUGAACUUAAGCAUAUCAAUAAGCGGAGGA